This 1065-nucleotide long non-coding RNA is filed under the name Phascolarctos cinereus (koala). Its description in RNAcentral is "lncRNA (ENSPCIG00000036196.1)". The record is from RNAcentral. Lineage: Eukaryota; Metazoa; Chordata; Mammalia; Diprotodontia; Phascolarctidae.
AUGGGUUUUUCCAGGAGAGAUCAACCUCCCUCCGGGCCCGCCCCCAUCCCACCACAAUCUCCCAGUCCCUUCUCAGGAGCAGGGGAAGCACCGCCCCGCCCCCCAGCCCCAUCCUCCUUCGGGGCUGGAACCCGGCCUGGCCUAACCCCCGGUUUCCAUCCUUCCUUCUAUCCCUCCCGGCAGGGCGGGGCAGGCUGUGCCCUCCUCUCCCCAGCUGGUCAGCGGAGCCCAGAGUCCAGCCGGACAGUCCGGCGCCCCGGCCCGUUCUGGAAGGGCCCAGUGCGGCCCGGCGAGGUGGAGCCCCCGGCCCUUCCCGGCCCGGCGCAGCAGGACGCGGAUGGGCGCCCCUGCGGGGCCGUUGGGCCCGGCUCGGGUUCCCGGGGCGGGGGCGGGGGCGGCGGCCGAGGGGAGGAGGCGGGGAGGGGCCAGGGGCGGCGCCCGCCCGCCCCGCGCCGGCCCCACGCCCUUACCUGUCUUCUCGUGGUCAUAGCCCACCACGAUGAAGUAGUCCGCCAGCCGCGCCAUCGCCGCCGCCGCCCCCGCGCCCGGGAAGCGGGACCCAGUCCCCGUCGCCGCCCUCGCCGCCGCCGCCGCCCGCCUGGCCCGGGAGCGCUCAGCAUUUUCCCUCUACCGGCGGUAGCAGCAGCGGCGGCAGCGGCGGCACUUCAGCCAUGUUUGACAACCGAGGCGCGCUCUGCGCCUGCGCGGGGCGCCGCGCCGCGCGAGACUCGCUCCUCCUCCCGGCUCCUCCCUCUCGUCGGCUUCCCAGCGCUUCCCGGAGCUGCGCAGCCUCAGCCCCGGCGCCCCCUCCCCCCGCGUCUGCGCUCCUCCCCCUCCCGCGCCGGCCUCCCCCAUCUUCCCUUCCCCCUCCCCCGCCUGGGCUGGGAGCAGCUGUGGCUUGCACAGGCCUUUCCUUCCCUCAGCCCACUUGUGGAGCGGGACCCGAGCGGGCUGGGGGGCGGCUCACGAAAAGUCCGCGGCCAAUGGUCUGGAAUCUGCCCCGCCAGGGCUUUUGCUGCUCGUUUCCUGUUUACGUUGCGCGGCCAAGCUUUCAGAGACCUUUGA